GACCCGCUAGCUCAGCAGGCAGAGCACCUGCCUUUUAAGCAGGGUGUCCGGAGUUCGAAUCUCCGGCGGGUCA
Molecule: transfer RNA, 73 nt
Filed under: Caudovirales sp. ctlwr10
Lineage: Duplodnaviria; Heunggongvirae; Uroviricota; Caudoviricetes
Also listed under: 1 other name
Description: tRNA-Lys
Rfam family: tRNA
About the family: Transfer RNA (tRNA) molecules are approximately 80 nucleotides in length. Their secondary structure includes four short double-helical elements and three loops (D, anti-codon, and T loops).
Source: RNAcentral